Molecule: ribosomal RNA, 502 nt
Filed under: uncultured bacterium
Lineage: Bacteria
Description: partial 16S ribosomal RNA
Source: RNAcentral
AUGCUUUCGUUCCUCAGUGUCAGUAAUGAUCCAGAAAGCUGCCUUCGCAAUUGGUAUUCUUUCUAAUAUCUACGAAUUUCACCUCUACACUAGAAAUUCUGCUUUCCUCUAUCAUACUCUAGCUGAAAAGUUUUGAUGGCAGUCCCAGAGUUAAGCUCUGGGAUUUCACCACCAACUUUUUCAACCACCUACGAACUCUUUAAGCCCAGUAAUUCCGAACUACGCUAGGUCCCUUCGUAUUACCGCGGCUGCUGGCACGAAGUUAGCCGGACCUUCUUAUUCGGGUACAGUCAUUUUCUUCCCCGACGAAAGAGCUUUACAACCCAAAGGCCUUCUUCACUCACGCGGCAUCGCUGCAUCAGAGUUUCCUCCAUUGUGCAAGAUUCCCCACUGCUGCCUCCCGUAGGAGUUUGGGCCGUGUCUCAGUCCCAAUGUGGCUGAUCAUCCUCUCAAAUCAGCUAUUGAUCAUAGUCUUGGUAGGCCAUUACCCUACCAACAAACU